Molecule: ribosomal RNA, 1346 nt
Filed under: uncultured bacterium
Lineage: Bacteria
Description: bacterial SSU rRNA
Rfam family: Bacterial small subunit ribosomal RNA
Source: RNAcentral
GACGAACGCUGGCGGCGUGCUUAACACAUGCAAGUCGAACGGAAAGGCCCUGCUUUUGUGGGGUGCUCGAGUGGCGAACGGGUGAGUAACACGUGAGUAACCUGCCCUUGACUUUGGGAUAACUUCAGGAAACUGGGGCUAAUACCGGAUAGGAGCUCCUGCUGCAUGGUGGGGGUUGGAAAGUUUCGGCGGUUGGGGAUGGACUCGCGGCUUAUCAGCUUGUUGGUGGGGUAGUGGCUUACCAAGGCUUUGACGGGUAGCCGGCCUGAGAGGGUGACCGGCCACAUUGGGACUGAGAUACGGCCCAGACUCCUACGGGAGGCAGCAGUGGGGAAUAUUGCACAAUGGGCGGAAGCCUGAUGCAGCAACGCCGCGUGCGGGAUGACGGCCUUCGGGUUGUAAACCGCUUUCGCCUGUGACGAAGCGUGAGUGACGGUAAUGGGUAAAGAAGCACCGGCUAACUACGUGCCAGCAGCCGCGGUGAUACGUAGGGUGCGAGCGUUGUCCGGGUUUAUUGGGCGUAAAGGGCUCGUAGGUGGUUGAUCGCGUCGGAAGUGUAAUCUUGGGGCUUAACCCUGAGCGUGCUUUCGAUACGGGUUGACUUGAGGAAGGUAGGGGAGAAUGGAAUUCCUGGUGGAGCGGUGGAAUGCGCAGAUAUCAGGAGGAACACCAGUGGCGAAGGCGGUUCUCUGGGCCUUUCCUGACGCUGAGGAGCGAAAGCGUGGGGAGCGAACAGGCUUAGAUACCCUGGUAGUCCACGCUGUAAACGGUGGGUACUAGGUGUGGGGUCCAUUCCACGGGUUCCGUGCCGUAGCUAACGCUUUAAGUACCCCGCCUGGGGAGUACGGCCGCAAGGCUAAAACUCAAAGGAAUUGACGGGGCCCCGCACAAGCGGCGGAGCAUGCGGAUUAAUUCGAUGCAACGCGUAGAACCUUACCUGGGUUUGACAUGGAUCGGGAGCGCUCAGAGAUGGGUGUGCCUCUUUUGGGGUCGGUUCACAGGUGGUGCAUGGCUGUCGUCAGCUCGUGUCGUGAGAUGUUGGGUUAAGUCCCGCAACGAGCGCAACCCUUGUUCACUGUUGCCGGCACGUUAUGGUGGGGACUCAGUGGAGACCGCCGGGGUCAACUCGGAGGAAGGUGGGGAUGACGUCAAGUCAUCAUGCCCCUUAUGUCCAGGGCUUCACGCAUGCUACAAUGGCUGGUACAGAGAGUGGCGAGCCUGUGAGGGUGAGCGAAUCUCGGAAAGCCGGUCUCAGUUCGGAUUGGGGUCUGCAACUCGACCUCAUGAAGUCGGAGUCGCUAGUAAUCGCAGAUCAGCAACGCUGCGGUGAAUACGUUCCCGGGGCU